AUCAGCCUAUGGUAUGUUAUUUGUCAUCACCAUGUUUAUAUGUUUAUAUGAUUGAAUAUCAUCAAGGGGAAUUUUGGGUUUUAGGGUUUGAGUAAUUUAGGAUUUCAUAAUGCUAAAAAUUUUUGAAAUCCAUUAUGCUUCUGCUGUGUAUGUUAUUAAUCGAACCUUAUAGAGACCUAGGCAAGUGGAACAUGAUCAAGGAUGGAGU
RNAcentral lists this long non-coding RNA (208 nucleotides) under Elaeis guineensis (African oil palm). RNAcentral's name for it is "long non-coding RNA (EGUI_LNC042531)". Lineage: Eukaryota; Viridiplantae; Streptophyta; Magnoliopsida; Arecales; Arecaceae. The record is from RNAcentral.